UACGUAGGGGGCAAGCGUUGUCCGGAUUUACUGGGUGUAAAGGGAGCGUAGACGGCCAUUCAAGCCAGAUGUGAAAGCCCGGGGCUCAACCCCGGGACUGCAUUUGGAACUGUAUGGCUGGAGUGUCGGAGAGGCAGGCGGAAUUCCUAGUGUAGCGGUGAAAUGCGUAGAUAUAUGGAGGAACACCGGUGGCGAAAGCGGCUCUCUGGCCUGUAACUGACACUGAGGCUCGAAAGCGUGGGGAGCAAACAGG
Molecule: ribosomal RNA, 253 nt
Filed under: uncultured bacterium
Lineage: Bacteria
Description: partial 16S ribosomal RNA
Rfam family: Bacterial small subunit ribosomal RNA
Source: RNAcentral